UUUUAGUAAUAUGCUGCAUGGUGAGAAGGGCAGAGGAAAUGCAAGGGCUUUGGAGUGUGUGGGGAAGCUGUAUGCCUUGCUUGUCUGGAAGCCCAUCCCUUCCCUGCUACCCGCUGCAGAUCUAGUAUUUCACUGGCAGCACUGGACGCUCCCAGACUCACUAAUGCUGUGAGUGAGCACGAAGCCAGCGUUGCAAACAUAGUUAUUUAUUUUGACCCAAUGACUCUGAGAAAUGACAUAUGUGAGAUCUGCAUUCAUUGUCUCUUAUGAAUUCCAGCCCACGUUUGGAGGUCUUUUGAGCAUCAGAAAGACACACGCCUUUGCAGUUU
Molecule: long non-coding RNA, 329 nt
Organism: Nothoprocta perdicaria
Lineage: Eukaryota; Metazoa; Chordata; Aves; Tinamiformes; Tinamidae
Exons: 3
Source: RefSeq, a predicted model, not a curated record